This 541-nucleotide ribosomal RNA is filed under the name uncultured bacterium. RNAcentral's name for it is "bacterial SSU rRNA". It matches the Rfam family "Bacterial small subunit ribosomal RNA", at positions 778 to 1319 of the family's 1533-position model. The record is from RNAcentral.
AUAGAUACCCCGGUAGUCCAUGCCGUAAACGUUGGGAACUAGAUGUAGGGUCCAUUCCACGGAUUCUGUGUCGCAGCUAACGCAUUAAGUUCCCCGCCUGGGGAGUACGGCCGCAGGGCUAAAACUCAAAGGAAUUGACGGGGGCCCGCACAAGCGGCGGAGCAUGCGGAUUAAUUCGAUGCAACGCGAAGAACCUUACCAAGGCUUGACAUAUACCGGAAACGGCUGGAAACAGUCGCCCCGCAAGGUCGGUAUACAGGUGGUGCAUGGUUGUCGUCAGCUCGUGUCGUGAGAUGUUGGGUUAAGUCCCGCAACGAGCGCAACCCUCGUUCUUUGUUGCCAGCACGUCAUGGUGGGAACUCAAAGGAGACUGCCGGGGUCAACUCGGAGGAAGUGGGGAUGACGCCGAAAUCAUCAUGCCCCUUAUGUCUUGGGCUUCACGCAUGCUACAAUGGCCGGUACAAAGGGCUGCAAUACCGUAAGGUGGAGCGAAUCCCAAAAAGCCGGUCUCAGUUCGGAUUGAGGUCUGCAACUCGACCUC